RNAcentral lists this ribosomal RNA (424 nucleotides) under uncultured bacterium. RNAcentral describes it as "bacterial SSU rRNA". It matches the Rfam family "Bacterial small subunit ribosomal RNA", at positions 355 to 796 of the family's 1533-position model. The record is from RNAcentral.
UCGGGAAUUUUGGGCAAUGGGGGAAACCCUGACCCAGCAACGCCGCGUGAAGGAUGAAGUAUUUCGAUAUGUAAACUUCGAAAGAAUAGGAAGAAUAAAUGACGGUACUAUUUAUAAGGUCCGGCUAACUACGUGCCAGCAGCCGCGGUAAUACGUAGGGACCAAGCGUUGUUCGGAUUUACUGGGCGUAAAGGGCGCGUAGGCGGCAUGACAAGUCACUUGUGAAAUCUCUGGGCUUAACCCAGAACGGCCAAGUGAUACUGUCGCGCUAGAGUGCAGAAGGGGCAAUCGGAAUUCUUGGUGUAGCGGUGAAAUGCGUAGAUAUCAAGAGGAACACCUGAGGUGAAGACGGGUUGCUGGGCUGACACUGACGCUGAGGCGCGAAAGCCAGGGGAGCAAACGGGAUUAGAUACCCGGGUAGUCC